Long non-coding RNA from Juglans microcarpa x Juglans regia, 338 nucleotides. RefSeq lists it as uncharacterized. The transcript has 3 exons. The record is from RefSeq and is a predicted model, not a curated record. NCBI's taxonomy places the organism in Eukaryota, Viridiplantae, Streptophyta, Magnoliopsida, Fagales, Juglandaceae.
UUCCAAGAGGAGUUCAACAAAUCAAGGCAGUGUGGAAAAUGAUCCCGAUUUGUAUUAUGUGGUGUAUAUGGCAAGAGCGCAAUGAUCGGACCUUCGAAGACAAGGAGCGGUCUCCGGAGGAACUUAGAACUCUAUUUUUUAGUACUUUAUUUCUAUGGGCCAUUGCUUUAAAUUUUUAUGGCCUGAAUUUUCAUGACUUUUUAGUUUCCCUUACUUCGACCUAGAUACGUCAUAUCUCUUGUAUACCAUCUUGUGUACUUGGACUUUGCCUAUCUCUCUUAAUAUAUUAUUUGAUUACUUAUAAAAAAAAAUAUUCCUUCACAGAUUUUUUUUACAUA